UUUGUACCUCUCCGUCCGAAAAUACUUAUCAUCAAAAUGGAUAAAAAGAGAUGUAUCUAGAACUAAAAUACAUCUAGAUACAUCCCCUUUCAUCCAUUUUGAUGACAAGUAUUUCCGGACAAAGGGAGUAGUAA
Molecule: non-coding RNA, 134 nt
Organism: Triticum aestivum (bread wheat)
Lineage: Eukaryota; Viridiplantae; Streptophyta; Magnoliopsida; Poales; Poaceae
Source: Rfam